This 353-nucleotide ribosomal RNA is filed under the name uncultured fungus. RNAcentral's name for it is "eukaryotic LSU rRNA". It matches the Rfam family "Eukaryotic large subunit ribosomal RNA", at positions 40 to 398 of the family's 3401-position model. The record is from RNAcentral. Lineage: Eukaryota; Fungi.
AUAUCAAUAAGCGGAGGAAAAGAAACCAACAGGGAUUGCCCUAGUAACGGCGAGUGAAGCGGCAACAGCUCAAAUUUGAAAUCUGGCUUCGGCCCGAGUUGUAAUUUGCAGAGGAAGAUUCUGGCGACGCGCCGUCCGAGUCCCCUAGAACGGGGCGCCAUAGAGGGUGAGAGCCCCGUAUGGACGGAUGCCUAGCCUGUGUGAAUCUCCUUCGACGAGUCGAGUAGUUUGGGAAUGCUGCUCAAAAUGGGAGGUAAAUUCCUUCUAAAGCUAAAUAUUGGCCAGAGACCGAUAGCGCACAAGUAGAGUGAUCGAAAGAUGAAAAGCACUUUGAAAAGAGGGUUAAACAGCAC